GUUCAUAAAAAUAUGUAACUUUCCCCAGAAAUCCAACUUUGAAGAUUUUGCUUGGCUUGGAAGUCAAAUCAUCAAGGUUGGAGCUGAUGUCUGCUAAUGAGGCCGGUGUUGAGGCUUUUGUUCAAACGGUAUUGACAUACUUAAAGGACAAGAGUUUAGAUGGUCUAGAUGUGACUUGGCUGGAUGGCCCUUCUUCUGCUGAAUCUAGCAGAACCAUAGAGCUAUUCACAAAUUUUCUGAAGCGUCUAAAAGGCGCGUUUGAAGAAGAAACCCAGCCUCUACUUCUGUCAGUGUCUGUACUAGAGCCUGUUGACCACAGUGCAGUCACUUAUAAUGAGCGAACACUUUCACAGUAUGUGGACUUCAUCUCCAUUCUGCCUGCUCACCUCAAAAAGGAUGGACCAUACAUUGACAAAACAGUCCAACACUGGCAGGACCAGCAAGUUGACCUGCAAAAGCUCAAUCUAGCCAUGCCUGCUUUUCAACGCUGGUCACGUCGAAGGCAUCACCACAGGGAUCACCUCGAGCAUGAUGACAUGAAUACAGAGACAGGAAGGAAGGAUCACAUCCACGUUUUGGGCUUAUACCUGGGCGAUCAGGUGUGUCAGGCCAUUAAAAGUGGACAGGAGCGGUUCAUUACUUUAACAAGUCUCUCAAAUGAGCAAAGUCUUGUAGCAGAGGUGCUCCAGAAAGGCUUUGGUGGCAUAGGAGUUGUCUUCAUAGAUCUGGAUGUCUUCUAUAACUCCAUGUGUGCAAACGUUACUCAGGAAGAAGGAGCGAUGGUUGAAUCAAAGGUGAUUCUGCAUUCACAUCAUGAACACAGACGUCAUGAGCAUGGUGGUCAUCAUCACAGGAGGAUCCAUCACCACAGCCGCCACCAGCAUCAUCACUCUCAUCUUCCUUACGGCAGCCAUGGUCACCGUCACCGUCACCAUGGACGCCAUCAACAUGGCCAUCGUCACCAUGGUCACCGUCAUCACCAUCAGCAUCAUCCAAUAAUUCCUCAAAGCAACAUAACCCUGGAAGAACACCAGGGCAUGGAGUGAACUUAAUACAUAAUUUGCAUAUGAUGAAUGUUAAUGAGAGACCUGCUUAUAGAAAUAUAUAUAUAUAUAUAUAUAUACAUAAUUUUCCACACAAAAUUCUCAUUAACCUUAAUAUCUAUCUAUCUAUCGAUCUAUCGAUCUAUCUAUCUAUCUAUCUAUCUAUCUAUCUAUCUAUCUAU
Molecule: long non-coding RNA, 1225 nt
Filed under: Sinocyclocheilus grahami
Lineage: Eukaryota; Metazoa; Chordata; Actinopteri; Cypriniformes; Cyprinidae
Description: lncRNA (ENSSGRG00000023026.1)
Source: RNAcentral